RNAcentral lists this ribosomal RNA (207 nucleotides) under uncultured bacterium. Its description in RNAcentral is "partial 16S ribosomal RNA". It matches the Rfam family "Bacterial small subunit ribosomal RNA", at positions 568 to 774 of the family's 1533-position model. The record is from RNAcentral.
UGCGUAGGUGGAAUGAUAAGUCGGAUGUGAAAGCCCCGGGCUCAACCUGGGAGGGUCAUACGAUACUGUCUAACUAGAGUACGGUAGAGGAGAGUGGAAUUUCCGGUGUAGCGGUGAAAUGCGUAGAUAUCGGAAGGAACACCAGUGGCGAAGGCGGCUCUCUGGACUGAUACUGACACUGAGGCACGAAAGCGUGGGGAGCAAACA